UACAGAGGUCCCGAGCGUUGUUCGGAUUCAUUGGGCGUAAAGGGUGCGGAGGCGGUUUGCUAAGUUUGAUGUGAAAUCCCGGGGCUUAACCCUGGAAUUGCAUUGAAUACUGGCGGACUAGAGUCCUGGAGAGGAAACUGGAAUUUACGGUGUAGCAGUGAAAUGCGUAGAGAUCGUAAGGAAGACCAGUGGCGAAGGCGAGUUUCUGGACAGGUACUGACGCUGAGGCACGAAGGCCAGGGGAGCAAACGGG
RNAcentral lists this ribosomal RNA (253 nucleotides) under uncultured bacterium. Its description in RNAcentral is "partial 16S ribosomal RNA". It matches the Rfam family "Bacterial small subunit ribosomal RNA", at positions 524 to 776 of the family's 1533-position model. The record is from RNAcentral.